CGGAUAACAUCGGUGUGGUUGUCAAAUUAUUUCCAAAAAUUGAUACCAUAAAAUAUGUACGUAUAAAAUGUCAUUAUUAUAUUUUUUUCCCGAAAACCUGUGUAUACUUUCAGCGGCUUCUCGUGGAAAAAACUGGUUCAAAUUCGGGGAUUAAAGUUGUUUUAUAGGCGAAUUAGAGUGAUAAAAGUUGGAAGUAGUAAUUUCUCUCUUGAAAUUAUUUCAAUGUGAAUUUCACC
Non-coding RNA from Cinara cedri, 236 nucleotides. NCBI's taxonomy places the organism in Eukaryota, Metazoa, Arthropoda, Insecta, Hemiptera, Aphididae. The record is from the annotation of a GenBank genome assembly.